UCUCUCUGUCCUCCUCUCCUCCGAAAAACUCCCUCCUCUCUUCUCUCUUCGAUUUCAUCUACCUAGGGUGUGAUUCUGGACAAUGUCCGAGAAUUAAAGUUGCUAUACGAACCAUGGACUUUCCGAAUAUCCAAGAAAAUUCAUGAUCGGACCUCGUGGGAGCUCGGUUGACUUGGUCAAAAGGUCGGGUUUUGCUCAAAACUCUUGAGGUACACUACAGGAACACAGUCUUGGAGGGUGUGAAGUGCAUGCAGACAUCACAAACGAAAGUUAUUUUCUGAAGUACUUGUCUUUCAUCGUAAAUUAAAUUGCAUUGUACUAUUCUCUCUAUGUUUGAAUACUGUAUCAAUUGACAGAUUUGUGAGAUUCAGAAACUGUAUUGUAAUUUGGGGUACCGUAUGUACUAUUGUGAGGAUUCGUAUUUAAAAUGGUAUUGUUAUUUAUGUUAAAAAUCGAGGGCGUGACAACU
Molecule: long non-coding RNA, 469 nt
Organism: Rhododendron vialii
Lineage: Eukaryota; Viridiplantae; Streptophyta; Magnoliopsida; Ericales; Ericaceae
Exons: 2
Source: RefSeq, a predicted model, not a curated record